RNAcentral lists this ribosomal RNA (255 nucleotides) under uncultured bacterium. RNAcentral's name for it is "partial 16S ribosomal RNA". It matches the Rfam family "Bacterial small subunit ribosomal RNA", at positions 524 to 776 of the family's 1533-position model. The record is from RNAcentral.
GACGAGGGCGCGAGCGUUGUCCGGAUUUAUUGGGCGUAAAGAGCUCGUAGGCGGCUUGUCGCGUCGACUGUGAAAUCCCGCGGCUCAACUGCGGGUCUGCAGUCGAUACGGGCAGGCUAGAGUUCGGUAGGGGAGACUGGAAAUUCCUGGUGUAGCGGUGAAAUGCGCAGAUAUCAGGAGGAACACCGGUGGCGAAGGCGGUUCUCUGGGCAUGUCCUGACGCUGGAGGAGCGAAAGUGUGGGGGAGCGAACAGG